AGUGAACGCUGGCGGUAGGCCUAACACAUGCAAGUCGAACGGCAGCACAGAGGAGCUUGCUCCUUGGGUGGCGAGUGGCGGACGGGUGAGGAAUACAUCGGAAUCUACUCUGUCGUGGGGGAUAACGUAGGGAAACUUACGCUAAUACCGCAUACGACCUACGGGUGAAAGCAGGGGAUCUUCGGACCUUGCGCGAUUGAAUGAGCCGAUGUCGGAUUAGCUAGUUGGCGGGGUAAAGGCCCACCAAGGCGACGAUCCGUAGCCGGUCUGAGAGGAUGAUCAGCCACACUGGAACUGGGACACGGUCCAGACUCCUACGGGAGGCAGCAGUGGGGAAUAUUGGACAAUGGGCGCAAGCCUGAUCCAGCCAUACCGCGUGGGUGAAGAAGGCCUUCGGGUUGUAAAGCCCUUUUGUUGGGAAAGAAAUCCAUCUGGUUAAUACCCGGGUGGGAUGACGGUACCCAAAGAAUAGGCACCGGCUAACUUCGUGCCAGCAGCCGCAGAAA
RNAcentral lists this ribosomal RNA (506 nucleotides) under uncultured bacterium. Its description in RNAcentral is "partial 16S ribosomal RNA". It matches the Rfam family "Bacterial small subunit ribosomal RNA", at positions 29 to 523 of the family's 1533-position model. The record is from RNAcentral.